GCCUCAGUCCUUCGCCGUCCCUCGCCGUCCUUCGCCAUCGCACGCCACCGCACCCCAUCUCUCGAAAUCUGCAGACAUCUUGAUUUUUCCCACGCUGUCUGUCAGGUCUCCGCCGCCACUCGACGCCAGGGCGCCGGGUGAGUCCACAGCAGGGCGCAUGGUCGGCUCCACUCUCACCAUCGGGGGAAACUGAGGCCCCGGGGAAGGCGGCCAGAGAGGUCAGGCCCUGUCCUUGGUGCAGUGUCUCGUCCUCUUUGCCGGAGUGAGCCCCCCAGGAUUCGCGUGUCCUCGGGAAAGACACUGGCAGGCCUUGUGGGCUGUGCUGCACCUCGGACGGCUUCGCACCAGCCAGCGCCCUCUCUCUCCUGCAGCACUCUGAUCUGCACCCCCUGAGGGGCUUCCACUGUCCGCGGGGUGAGAAUGCCCCUGGGAGUGUCACAUGACUGCCGCCCCAUGUGUGUGAGAGGCGUCCUCUGGGAGAGCAUGGAUCCUGAGGUCCCAGGAUUGUCAGCUGACCUCUGUCCUGUGUGCCCAGUGGCCCCAGGU
This 546-nucleotide long non-coding RNA is filed under the name Homo sapiens (human). Its description in RNAcentral is "non-protein coding SNHG17:13". The record is from RNAcentral. Lineage: Eukaryota; Metazoa; Chordata; Mammalia; Primates; Hominidae.